RNAcentral lists this microRNA precursor (168 nucleotides) under Pelobates cultripes (western spadefoot toad). The record is from RNAcentral. Lineage: Eukaryota; Metazoa; Chordata; Amphibia; Anura; Pelobatidae.
GCAGCCACAUUCCAGCCAAUCAGCAGCAGACCCUCCCUCCCAGGCCCUCCCACCUCCUGGACAGCAUCCAUUUUACAUUCAUUGUGAAGCUGCAUUCUUAGUGAGCUGUCCAGGAGGUGGGAGGGUCUGGGAGGGAGGGUCUGCUGCUGAUUGGCUGGAAUUUGUCUG